This 318-nucleotide unclassified non-coding RNA is filed under the name Zea mays. RNAcentral describes it as "misc RNA Zm00001eb196770". Lineage: Eukaryota; Viridiplantae; Streptophyta; Magnoliopsida; Poales; Poaceae. The record is from RNAcentral.
CUGUGCCCGUAUCAGGGAGUGGCCGGCUCGGCGGCGGCGUGGGUAGAGGCAAAGAUGGAUCGGCCGCUAGCGUUGUCGUCAGAGAUGGAUCGGCCGCUAGCUGCCUGCUUUUCCCUGUUACUGGUGGCAAUGGAUCACCGCCGCAAGCAUCUCGCUAAAUCCGAUCUACCUGGCGGGCUAAACAGAAAGGCCUGUGUGCUCCGCCUGCUUCCUCCCGUGACAGCGUGUGCUCGUGGCUUCCCUGCGGCGCUCGGCAGGCCACCGCUGGCUGCCAACGGCGCGCACCAGACGCUAGAUCGGGCUGCCCAGGGCAGUUAA